GAUUCUACACUGCCGCUGCACUCCUACAAGCCCACACUCCUACUCAAUCUUGCUGCCGUCCUCUGCCACCUGGUGAUACCCACCCCCGGUGACUCCCGUCACCGCGUCAGCGUCCCAUUCACGCCCAGCAACAGAGGUCGCCACCGCAGAAACAGGCAGGCUGCCCCCAUCGAUUCAGCCUCCAUCUCUGCUCUUCUUCACGGUGGGCAAGAUCCUUCGCGGCUCCAUCUCCAUGCCGCACAUGUUUCCAUCAACACAGCCGGUGCAUUCCUUACAGAGGUAUGCAAUGGGUCAGAGCUCUCUCCAUUUUUAUGAUUUAGCUUCUUAGUUCCAGAUUUGAAAAAAUGUGCUCUGUACAAGAUAUUCCUUACCUGGGUUACCAGAUAAAGCCUGAAGCCUUCCGAAAUUGAGAAGCCGAUAUAUGCACAUAUAGUUGAUUCAACCAAUACAGAUGCAGCCUAUCAUGCUUUUGCAUCCAUGAAAAACCCAAAGCUUUCCAAGAUGUCAAGUUCAUGCGUUCUGUGUAGUGGUGGAGCUUGACAACAAAUUCAGAGGGGGCCAACACCUGCUAGAGGAAAUACACAUUGCUACUGCUCUACUGAAUGCGUCCAUUUAUGUGGAUUUUCUAUCCUCAUGAAACGAGAGUGUCACACUUCCUUCUUCUUGAUGUAAUAAUAUAGGGAGCUCUUGUGUGGUCGAGAAAAAAAAAUCAAACCAAGAUUUGUCCUAAAACCUGACCACAUCGGUUUAGGAUAUGGUCUCAAACUCUCAAUGAUGCUUUACUGGGAAAUACCAUAGCUUUAUUGAGCCAUCUGCAACCUCUGUACCCUGUGAGGCUGUAACUCACGUUUUUUUGCUUUGGUGUCAAGGAUAUCAACCGAUAGAGGCAGAUAGCAGAGUUGGCUGCCAGCUGCUAAAAGAGACCCCAACUGUGCAACAAGGUACAUAGUCUGGUUUCAUGUCAAGUUCUUUUUAUGGUUCUGACGCUCCGUACUUCCACAUUGAUAUUUUCAUGUCAGCUUAAUGGCCUCGUUACUCGAACCAUAUUGGA
Setaria italica (foxtail millet) is the source of this 1051-nucleotide long non-coding RNA. RefSeq lists it as uncharacterized. NCBI's taxonomy places the organism in Eukaryota, Viridiplantae, Streptophyta, Magnoliopsida, Poales, Poaceae. The record is from RefSeq and is a predicted model, not a curated record. The transcript has 5 exons.